UAAUGUUAUUUUUCUCUAUUGCAUGGGAUAUCUUUCUUUAGCCAUUUGUUUUUAUUUAAUUCUAAUCAUGACAUUAAAUAAGAAGGAUAAAUUGCAAGAUAAGCAUUUAUCUAGAUGACGUGGAGAUCACUUGAGAAAACAUCCUACAUUAAUUGCAAGAUAAAUGAUAUGAAAAGGACAAUCCAUUUGCAUAGCAAAAUGUUAUUGUCUCAUUACAUUAAUAUGAACAUUAAUUGCUAGACAGGUGACAUCAAAAGACAACCCAUUACAGAAAUUUUUCAGUAUCGCAUAACAUUAACACAUCAUUACUUGCUAGGUUAGUGAGAUCAAAAGAUAAAUCAUGAUUUGGCAAAUUGUUAUUGCCUUAUCCGAGCGACGUCUCUAAUGAUAGAGAAGCGCUUAUCCGUCAUCGAUAAGUUUUCUAGUUUUAUCAUAACAUUACUAGGGUAAACAUUAAUUACUAGAUAUGUGACAUCCAUGGAUAAACCCAUUGUGUAGCAAAUCGUUAUUGUCUCAUAGCAAUAAUACAAGUAUUACCACUAGACAAGUGACAUAAGAAACAACCAUCGUAUAGCAAAUUGUUAUUGUAUUACUACCCGAGAUGCCCUUGUCGACCCAAGCCACUAUUCGGUUGGGCCCACACGACCGUGCAAGCUUCUUCUCGUAACGACUAGCACAUCCUAUUGGAGAUGCUCUAACACACAACCGCUCGAAGCGGCCAUACUCAAAAGUUGUACACAUGUGCAGUGUAUGCAAUGAUACAUACAAAGAUUGACCCCAUCUCGGGUAAUCCUCCACUUAAUCAUCACUUCAUCACUGAAAAGCUAAUCUACUAUAGACAAGACAAAAGAAACCAAAAAAUAAAAUAAAAAUCCCAAACACUUUCAACCGGACAUCACUGCACUACAUCAGCGCUGACAGUGCACUCCCAGCCAAACAACGG
Molecule: long non-coding RNA, 943 nt
Filed under: Brachypodium distachyon (stiff brome)
Lineage: Eukaryota; Viridiplantae; Streptophyta; Magnoliopsida; Poales; Poaceae
Description: long non-coding RNA (BDIS_LNC004192)
Source: RNAcentral